This 492-nucleotide ribosomal RNA is filed under the name uncultured bacterium. RNAcentral describes it as "partial 16S ribosomal RNA". It matches the Rfam family "Bacterial small subunit ribosomal RNA", at positions 29 to 507 of the family's 1533-position model. The record is from RNAcentral.
AGUGGACGCUGGCGGUAGGCCUAACACAUGCAAGUCGAACGGCAGCACAGUAAGAGCUUGCUCUUAUGGGUGGCGAGUGGCGGACGGGUGAGGAAUACAUCGGAAUCUACUUUUUCGUGGGGGAUAACGUAGGGAAACUUACGCUAAUACCGCAUACGACCUACGGGUGAAAGCAGGGGAUCUUCGGACCUUGCGCGAUUGAAUGAGCCGAUGUCGGAUUAGCUAGUUGGCGGGGUAAAGGCCCACCAAGGCGACGAUCCGUAGCUGGUCUGAGAGGAUGAUCAGCCACACUGGAACUGAGACACGGUCCAGACUCCUACGGGAGGCAGCAGUGGGGAAUAUUGGACAAUGGGCGCAAGCCUGAUCCAGCCAUACCGCGUGGGUGAAGAAGGCCUUCGGGUUGUAAAGCCCUUUUGUUGGGAAAGAAAAGCAGCAGGUUAAUACCCCGCUGUUCUGACGGUACCCAAAGAAUAAGCACCGGCUAACUUCGUG